Molecule: long non-coding RNA, 1335 nt
Organism: Ailuropoda melanoleuca (giant panda)
Lineage: Eukaryota; Metazoa; Chordata; Mammalia; Carnivora; Ursidae
Exons: 4
Source: RefSeq, a predicted model, not a curated record
AGGGCCUCGCGGCGCCCCAUUUAGCGCCGCGCCGCGCCCCCUCCUCCCCGCCCGCUCCUUAAAGGCCGAGCGCCGGCGCGGCUCCUCGGGCGGCUCGGGGAGAGGCACAGGAAAUGACCUCAGCAGGCUCCAGCCUCCCACCUCUCCGCAACCGCUCGGCUCGUCCCUGGGGCAGGCGGGGAGGGCGGCGGGGUCUCCCGGCCCUGGCCCCGAGCUCUCCGCGGGGGAGGGCGGGCCGCACCGGCUGCCGCGACGGGCGGCCGGGUGCCCCGAGACCUGCUCAGCCCCCGGCCGGCGUGGGACCCUCACAGGAUGGGGCGCAAGACCAGACCUUUUUCCCCACGAGGAGGUUCCAGCAUUUGCUGGCAACCUGUGAGAACUGCAGCGCCCGGGUAUUUGGAGAAGUCCUUAUUUCCAACAAUCUGUCCCACUGCCAGACCUGAUUGGUAAUUUGGAAAAAAAAGUCCCCUCAAAGCAGAGGGUAACCUGCUUGGGCUUUCCGCCCAGGCCUGAACAGAGGCAACCACCACCAGGGCCCAGUUUUCCAGAGUGGCUUUGGAAGACUCACUCCAGGCCAUGAUGAAGGAUCCCCUGGCUCCACCCCAAAUUUGAAUUUGAAUCUCUGGAGCUAAGAGCUCUACUGGGGCACUGAGUCAGGUGUAAACUCCGCACGCUGUCUGCCUCCCCCAUGGCAUGGACGUUUGCUGUACGGGGCUGCAUAGCAGCCUUUGGCCUCCUUUGGGAAACUGCUCCUUGAUUUCACGCUCACUGCUUACCUCUCGAUCAUGAUGGGGGAGCUGGUAUUGCCUAUGUCAGAGGAUCCUGCAGGCCCUUCCCUGGCCAAGAGUUGGAUGCCUGACUCAACUUGGGUGCAGACAGACAUAGAGGACCUUGGAUGGAGCAUCAGAAGACCUGAGUUUGACCUGCAUUCUGCCUGUACUAACAGUAUAGCCUUGAUCAAACCAUGCAAUUUCUCUGAGCCUCGAUUUCCUCAUUUAUAACAUGAGGGUUAAAAUAGCUGCCUUACCCAAAGAGAAAAAGGUAUGUUAAUUGUAAGGCAUUAUAUGAAUUUUUUGUUAGGAAGCAAUGAUUCGUAGUUUAGGAAUGAGGAAAACCUAGAUUGUGCAGUUAAGUCCAUGGGAGAGCUGGGUACAGUAGAGACCAGCUGAGCCGAGCCUUGUGCCUUCUUCUUGAUUCUGUGACUGGCAACUUGGCUUCUAUACUAAGGAUGAAAAUAUUAAUAUUAUAUAUGAAAACAUUUUCUUUGAUCUCAAAGUUUAUUUUUUGUCUCUGAUUUUAAAAGAAAUUUAAACAUUUUUGUGGGCCCUAAAAUAU